Molecule: long non-coding RNA, 548 nt
Organism: Calidris pugnax (ruff)
Lineage: Eukaryota; Metazoa; Chordata; Aves; Charadriiformes; Scolopacidae
Exons: 3
Source: RefSeq, a predicted model, not a curated record
ACAGGCUACUGGAUUAUAUCAACUUCUGUACUGUACAGGCCUGGGAAUACAAGGAAACACAACAGGUAAUAUGCUGGGAAAUUGAUCCAUCCUCAUGGACUUUAAGCAACUAACUGUAGAAAAUCAGCAAACAGGUAUUUCUCUGCUGACAGUUGUUGAUUGGGAAGAAGGAAUCUGAGGAAUUCUGAGCUGACUACUGCUGUGGUUGGAAGGUAACACCAUCCUACUGCUCAGCCCUCUCAGGCUGAGGUACAGGGAUGAAAACCAGAUUUAACAUCUGACUGUACAAGAAUUCACUCUUUUUGGAUGACUAAUGCUGCUAUAGCUUAGGGUCAAAUUAUGUCAUGUUUUGUGUGGCUGAUCAAUGUAAUAAAAGCACAGAAGGUGACUUCCUUAUGCCAUGUGCCAUCAUUGCCAAGUCACGGGGAUGUAUUUCACUGUGGUGCUGCGUCCUGCCCCCCCGCUUCACAACACUCUGGAGGCUGACGUUCCCCCAGACAGAGUGAGGCAGAGAGGAUGUUGAUGACUCAUUUUCCCUUCAUUUUCUU